Molecule: long non-coding RNA, 797 nt
Organism: Dalotia coriaria
Lineage: Eukaryota; Metazoa; Arthropoda; Insecta; Coleoptera; Staphylinidae
Exons: 4
Source: RefSeq, a predicted model, not a curated record
GGCGAUGGCGCACAGAGAACCGACAAUCUUCCCCCAGACUCCCACCGGCCUGCAGGACGCAACGGCAAACAGAAAACAGACAACACAUUAGUCAUCCGCACCGCAUCGCCGCCAUGACGAUCAGUUCAAGAUUUUGAUGUUUUUUACUGGAUUUUAUAGUGAGUGCGAGCAAAAAUAAUGUUCUGCGGUUUGUCCACGACAUUUUUCCAACGGAGAAUUUCGAGAAUGUAAAUUUCAAAGAGGCUCUGCAUAAUUGAAAGAAUUGUAGAAUGGAAGAAUGGUUUUGCCUUUGAUUAUGGAAGCAGCUUGGAGCGUAUCAUACACAAAGCCUCAUCUGCUAAGACCAGCGAUUGAGGGCACAUCCGUCAACGACGCCUGCCUUUACAUGACUGACCGCAUGCGGGUCGUGCACGUGAUGACUUAACUCCCCCCACCACUUUUCGCAGGUACCCGCACCGCAAGCUCCCGCGCUACGUACCAUAUAAACCUCCCUACCUCUACCCUUCUCCCCACCACUUUUCACCGGUUGUCCGCAGGUAUAAAAGGGCAGCGCGCAGCGACCACAGUGCUCAGUCGUGUCUGAGUCGUCCAAUCGUCCAGUCGUAGAGUUUUAGGUUCUCCACUUCUCUCUAUCUCGUCCUUGGUCACUGGUUUGAGUCACACAGUUGUUAUUUAUACUGUUUAUGUACUUUUUGUCGUUUUUUGCACUCCGUGACGCACAAAACGCGUAAUUUUGCAGUUAUUAAUAUUUUAUGACAUUCCUAUAAUUAAAUUUAAAAUUGGAAACAAUAUUAAAC